GGUAUGGGGUUGUAGGAGCCCGACAUGGGAUUCAAAGAUAUAUAGCGGAACAGUAUGGAAAGGCUGACCGUAGACGGUGAUAGUCCGGUACGUGAAAUAUAUCUUGACCCUAGGGAUUUCCUGAGUACCACGGGACACGUGAAACCCUGUGGGAAUCUGGGAGGACCAUCUUCCAAGGCUAAAUACUAACCGAUGACCGAUAGUGAACGAGUACCGUGAGGGAAAGGUGAAAAGAACCCCGGGAGGGGAGUGAAAUAGAAACUGAAACCGUUAGCUUACAAGCAGUAGGAGCACUAUGUAUUUAUACAGUGUGACUGCGUGCCUUUUGCAUAAUGAGUCAACGACUUACCCUAUGCAGCGAGGUUAAGCCGAGAGGUGGAGCCGCAGCGAAAGCGAGUCUUAACUGGGCGUAUAGUUGUAUGGGGUAGACCCGAAGCCGGGUGAUCUAUCCAUGGCCAGGGUGAAGUCUCGGUAACACGAGAUGGAGGCCCGAACCGAUAUAGGUUGAAAACUGUUCGGAUGAGUUGUGGAUAGGAGUGAAAGGCUAAUCAAACUCGGUGAUAGCUGGUUUUCUCCGAAAUAUAUUUAGGUAUAGCCUCGCAUGUUGACUGACGGAGGUAGAGCACUGACAAGACUAGGGGUCCCACCGGAUUACCAACUCUUUUCAAACUCCGAAUACCGUCAAGUUCUAGUGCGGGAGUCAGACUACGGGAGAUAAGUUCCGUGGUCGAAAGGGAAAGAACCCAGACCGUCAGCUAAGGUCCCCAAAUCUAUGCUAAGUGGAAAAGGAUGUGGAAUUGUUUAUACAACCAGGAGGUUGGCUUAGAAGCAGCCACCCUUUAAAGAAAGCGUAAUAGCUCACUGGUCUAAUGAUACCGCGCCGAAAAUUUAACGGGGCUAAGCAUAGUACCGAAGCUACGGAUUGAAAUUUAUUUCAAUGGUAGGAGAACAUUGUGGCCGCCUGAGAAGGUACACCGUAAGGAGUGCUGGAGGUUCCACAAGAGCUUAUGUUGACACGAGUAGCGAAAAACAAGGUGAGAAACCUUGUCGCCGAAAGCCUAAGGUUUCCUGUAGUCAAGUUAAUCUGCUCAGGGUUAGUCGGCCCCUAAGGCGAGGCCGAGAGGCGUAGUCGAUGGGAAACAGGUUAAUAUUCCUGUACCACUUUCAUAAUGUUAUGGUAAGGGGGGACGGAGAAGGUAAGGCCAUCCGGGCGUUGGUUGUCCCGGUUUAAGCGCGUAGGUUUGGUACUUAGGCAAAUCCGGGUACCUUUAAGACUGAGGCGUGAUGACGAUGUCUUUUAGACAACAAAGUGGCUGGUUCCAUGCUUCCAGGAAAAUCCUCGUAUCUAGUUAUGAUUGUGACCGUACCGUAAACCGACACAGGUAGGCAGGUAGAAGAUACCAAGGCGCUUGAGAGAACUCUGGUUAAGGAACUCGGCAAAAUAGCACCGUAACUUCGGGAGAAGGUGUGCCUGCAGGGUGAAGUUAUUUACUGACGGAGCCCAGUCAGGUUGCAGUGAAAUGGGGGGAGCGACUGUUUACUAAAAACAUAGGACUCUGCGAAGUCGAAAGACGAAGUAUAGGGUCUGACGCCUGCCCGGUGCCGGAAGGUUAAGGGGACAUGUCAGCCGCAAGGUAAAGCAUUGAACCGAAGCCCCGGUAAACGGCGGCCGUAACUAUAACGGUCCUAAGGUAGCGAAAUUCCUUGUCGGGUAAGUUCCGACCU
Molecule: ribosomal RNA, 1725 nt
Filed under: marine metagenome
Description: bacterial LSU rRNA
Rfam family: Bacterial large subunit ribosomal RNA
Source: RNAcentral